CCUACGGGAGGCAGCAGUGGGGAAUAUUGCACAAUGGGCGCAAGCCUGAUGCAGCGACGCCGCGUGAGGGAUGACGGCCUUCGGGUUGUAAACCUCUUUCACCAGGGACGAAGCGCAAGUGACGAUACCUGGAGAAGAAGCACCGGCCAACUACGUGCCAGCAGCCGCGGUAAU
This 174-nucleotide ribosomal RNA is filed under the name uncultured bacterium. Its description in RNAcentral is "partial 16S ribosomal RNA". It matches the Rfam family "Bacterial small subunit ribosomal RNA", at positions 338 to 524 of the family's 1533-position model. The record is from RNAcentral.